CCUACGGGUGGCUGCAGUGGGGAAUAUUGCACAAUGGGGGAAACCCUGAUGCAGCGACGCCGCGUGAGCGAUGAAGUAUUUCGGUAUGUAAAGCUCUAUCAGCCGGGAAGAAAAUGACGGUACCUGACUAAGAAGCCCCGGCUAACUACGUGCCAGCAGCCGCGGUCAUACGUAGGGGGCAAGCGUUAUCCGGGUUUACUGGGUGUAAAGGGAGCGUAGACGGCUGUGCAAGCCAGAUGUGAAAGCGCGGGGCUCAAACCCGGGACUGCAUUUGGAACUGUGUGGCUGGAGUGUCGGAGAGGCAGGCGGAAUUCCUGGUGUAGCGGUGAAAUGCGUAGAUAUUAGGAGGAACACCAGUGGCGAAGGCGGCCUGCUGGACGAUGACUGACGUUGAGGCUCGAAAGCGUGGGGAGCAAACAGGAUUAGAUACCCUGGUAGUC
RNAcentral lists this ribosomal RNA (440 nucleotides) under uncultured bacterium. RNAcentral describes it as "partial 16S ribosomal RNA". It matches the Rfam family "Bacterial small subunit ribosomal RNA", at positions 338 to 795 of the family's 1533-position model. The record is from RNAcentral.